AUACUUGGAACCAUUGCAGUUUUCUUUUUUUCCCGCUCCUUUUGUAAUUCUUGAUCUUUUCCUGUUGUUUUUUAUAUUCCACUAUGAGGCCCAUGGUCAUAUUUUUGCCAUGAUGGCGUCCAUGUCUAUGUCAUGUCAUGGGCCGCUUGUUUAAUUAGUGUCAUUCCACAUUAGCUGCAAGGCGAUCUCCUAGUUUCUAGGAGUACCAUUUUGAGAAGGCACCCCAUUCGAGAUGGCAUUCUACAUUGUUUUUUUAAGGAACAAAUGACAUGAUAUCUUGAGUUGUUAUAAAACCGGUUCAAUAAUAACCAUUGAAAACCGAACA
Molecule: long non-coding RNA, 325 nt
Filed under: Oryza brachyantha (malo sina)
Lineage: Eukaryota; Viridiplantae; Streptophyta; Magnoliopsida; Poales; Poaceae
Description: long non-coding RNA (OBRA_LNC001991)
Source: RNAcentral